Mesocricetus auratus (golden hamster) is the source of this 346-nucleotide unclassified non-coding RNA. Its record names the gene 7SK. It matches the Rfam family "7SK RNA". Rfam says of the family: 7SK was discovered as an abundant small nuclear RNA in the mid-70s but a possible function has only recently been suggested. Two independent studies have found that 7SK RNA binds the CDK9/cyclin T complex (known as elongation factor P-TEFb). The record is from Ensembl. NCBI's taxonomy places the organism in Eukaryota, Metazoa, Chordata, Mammalia, Rodentia, Cricetidae.
GGAUGUGAGGGUGAUCGGGCUGCGACAUGUGUCACCCCAUUGAUCGCCAGGGUUGAUUCAGUUGAUGUGGCUGGCUAGGUGGGUGUCCCCUUUCUCCCUCACUGAUCCAUGUGCAUCUCUCCCGAAGCUGCUAGCUCGGUUGAAGAGGAUGACCUUCCCCGAAUAGAGGAGGCUCAGUCCUCUUCAGUCAAGGGUAUAUGAGUAGCUCUGCUCCCUUGCUAGAACCUCCAAAACAAGCUCUCAAGUCAUUCUUUCUUUAGUCUUAGAAGCAACUCUGUUUGAAAACAGCCUACAGGUCUUUAAGGCAAUCAAAUCUUUGAACAUGCCAGGUAGGCGUAAUAGAAUU